AAUAAAUAUUAAAAUAAUAAUAGUAACAUACAAUAUUUGGAUGGCGGAAAAUCAAGCGACGCUACAAGGGCGUGUCACCCCAGCCAAAGGCCAAUUUUCCCGCCACAUGGAAGCACAGUUGUACGACAAGUAUCCUUCAUCCUGCGCUAAACAAGUAUUUAUUCUUUGUGAAAUUACAUUUUAGCCCUCCAGUGAAGUAAACCUAUUUAGCAAGUUUCUUUUCCCAAAAUAUAUAUAUUUCAAUCUUCCAAUCACUAUUUAUUUCUAAAUAAACAUAUUGUUUCUCAAUUUCUUAAAAAAAAAAAAAGUAUUUCCUAAAAGAUAAAUAAUAAUAAAAUAAACACCAAUCAAGAAAAAUAAAAAAAUUCCACAGCAGUACAAAAAUCGGUGCGCUUUUCCAAUCAGUUUGUUAAAACCUGAAGAAAUCUUAUAAAAGAAAAAGUACUGUCAUCAUAUGUCAAAACAAACACCCAUGAAGUAAUAAUAAUCCAUGUCUAUAAAUUUAAGAUUAUAAAUAAAAAAAAUAAUUGCAGGCAGAAAAAAGAAGGAAAAAAAAACUUUCUUUUUUUAUAGAGGAUGGACGAUGGCAAUCAUGAUGGGGUGUUUUUCUCACCAGAAGAUCAAGAUUGUGAUGAAAAUUGGACGGCCCAGAUUCAAACUGAUAAUCAGCAGCAAAGUUUUCCAAGCAUUUCAAUGGAAGAGGCAGCUGCUUGUUAUUCCGAUUUUAUGCUAAGUGAUAAUCUCUCGACUUUCGGGGUUAUUAGUCCCCCAGUAGGAUCGAUUCCCCGUUUGAAGGAGAUUACCUCGGCUAAUAAGGGGCAAUCGAGUGGCGCCAAAAGGAAGCAUACAGCUCGUGCAGAUUUA
This 864-nucleotide long non-coding RNA is filed under the name Erythranthe guttata (spotted monkey flower). RNAcentral's name for it is "long non-coding RNA (EGUT_LNC002284)". Lineage: Eukaryota; Viridiplantae; Streptophyta; Magnoliopsida; Lamiales; Phrymaceae. The record is from RNAcentral.